UAGGCAGUAGUGAGUCUCCAUGUCGUCUUCUGGUUCCUUGAGAACUUUUUUUUCUGUACAUGACUAGGGUUGAGUGAUAUGAAUAUUUCAAUGAUGAUGAACAGAAUAAAAGGCUACCAGUGCACUAAAGAAGAUAUGGAAUUUCUUCAACACAUGAAAAACCAAGAACAAGCACAGAAAUUGAAGGCAAAAUAUUUACAUCUACAAAAGGAACGGACCAGCAUGGGUCAGACAAAGGAGCUGCUACUAGCACAGCGAGAGAAAGUGCAGGAAGAGAUUGUACAAAUGAAAACAUCUUAUGAUAGAACAGUCCAACUUGGAAGAGCUGUCCUGGGUAAGAAAAUGGAUCCUGCUGCCGUUGAAGCAUUGCCACCAAAAGCUGUGCUUGGGCAGCUGAAUCCUGGGAAACUGCAGCAAGUUCAACAGCAAGAGAGGGCUGAACUUCAGGCACUCACAAAAGAGCUAAAGAAGUUAAAACAUUCCAUUGCCCAACUGCCUCAGAAACAGGGAAUAAGGCUGGAAAGAGAGUCUUGUAAACAACAGAUACAGGAAGCGGCACAUAGAGUACAGCAAGCACAAGAAGAUGUGGAGAAUCUGAAAUGCAAAGUUGAAGCAGCACAGUCAAAAUUAGCAGAAGUUCAGGCACACCUGUGUAAUACAAGAGUUGAAAUAGAGAAGUGGCACACGUUGAAAGAGAAGACAACUGUUUCUCAGCCACUGGAGAAUGCCCAAGAUUCUGACAAUAAUUAUCUUAAGAGAAGACUUAACAGAAUCUUGCGAAGAACAGAUAUCUUUUUAGAAAGGGAAAAAAUAAUUGAAAGAUUUAAUCUUUUGCAAUGA
This 840-nucleotide long non-coding RNA is filed under the name Chelydra serpentina (North American snapping turtle). RNAcentral's name for it is "lncRNA (ENSCSRG00000002617.1)". The record is from RNAcentral. Lineage: Eukaryota; Metazoa; Chordata; Testudines; Chelydridae.